Molecule: ribosomal RNA, 493 nt
Filed under: uncultured bacterium
Lineage: Bacteria
Description: partial 16S ribosomal RNA
Rfam family: Bacterial small subunit ribosomal RNA
Source: RNAcentral
ACUCAAAUGAAUUGACGGGGACCCGCACAAGUGGUGGAGCAUGUAGUUUAAUUCGAGGAUACGCGAAGAACCUUACCAAAACUUGACAUCCUCAGCAAAGCUAUGGAAACAUAGUGGAGGUUAUCUGAGUGACAGGUGGUGCACGGUUGUCGUCAGCUCGUGUCGUGAGAUGUUGGGUUAAGUCCCGCAACGAGCGCAACCCUUAUCUUUAGUUGCUAACAUUUAGUUGAGGACUCUAGAGAGACUGCCGUUGAUAAAACGGAGGAAGGUGGGGAUGACGUCAAAUCAUCAUGCCCCUUAUGUUUUGGGCUACAGACGUGCUACAAUGGCUAAUACAACGAGCAGCUAAACCGUAAGGUCAUGCGAAUCUCUUAAAAUUAGUCUAAGUUCGGAUUGAGGUCUGCAACUCGACCUCAUGAAGUCGGAAUCACUAGUAAUCCCGGGUCAGCAUACCGGGGUAAAUACGUUCUCGGGUCUUGCACACACCGCCCGU